This is a ribosomal RNA of Chlorocebus sabaeus (green monkey), 99 nucleotides long. The record is from Ensembl. NCBI's taxonomy places the organism in Eukaryota, Metazoa, Chordata, Mammalia, Primates, Cercopithecidae.
GUCUAAGGCCAUACCAUUCUGAUCCAUGAAGAUAAGCAGGAUCUGGCCUGGCAAGUACUUGAAUGGGAGACCACCUGGGAAUACUGAGAGCUGUCGGAU